RNAcentral lists this non-coding RNA (148 nucleotides) under Pan paniscus (pygmy chimpanzee). The record is from Rfam by way of RNAcentral. Lineage: Eukaryota; Metazoa; Chordata; Mammalia; Primates; Hominidae. RNAcentral also lists the same sequence under 1 other name.
GCUGGGCGUAGUGGCGGGCGCCUGUAGUCCCAGCUACUCGGGAGGCUGAGGCAGGAGAAUCGCUUGAACUCGGGAGGCAGUGGUUGCAGUGAGCCGAGGUUGCGCCACUGCACUCCAGCCUGGGUGACAAAGAGAGACUCUGUCUCAA